UAGAGAGUGAGGUGGGAGAGAGAGAAAUAGAGAGUGAGGUGGGAGAGAGAAAUAGAGAGUGAGGUGGGAGAGAGAAAUAGAGAGUGAGGUGGGAGAGAAAAAUAGAGAGUGAGGUGGGAGACGGAGAGAGAGAAACAGUAGACAUUUUUUGCCAAUUUUAACCGCACACUUGUUUGUGUACAUGGAUUCAUUAUGUCAUAUGUUUUUCCCCAAACACCACUUUUCAUCAAUUUGUAUAGCAGACCCUCAUGCCAAAUUGAGUCAAAAGCUUUUUUGAAAUCAACAAAGUAUGAGAAGACUUUCCCUUUGUUUUGGUUUGUUUGUUUGUCAAUUAGGGUGUGCAGGGGUGAAUACGUGGUCUGUCGUACGGUAAUUAGGUAAAAAGACAAUUUGACAUUUGCUCAGUACAUUGUUUUCACUGAGGAAAUAUACGAGUUUGCUGUUAAUGAUAAAGCAAAGGAAUUUCCCAAGGUUGCUGUUGACUCAUAUCCCACUGUAGUUAUUGGGGUCAAAUUUGUCUCCACUUUUGUGGAUUGGAGUGAUCAGACCUUGGUUCCAAAUAUUGGGGAAGAUGCCAGAGCUGAGGAUGAUGUUAAAGAGUUUAAGUAUAGCCA
Molecule: long non-coding RNA, 614 nt
Organism: Oncorhynchus tshawytscha (Chinook salmon)
Lineage: Eukaryota; Metazoa; Chordata; Actinopteri; Salmoniformes; Salmonidae
Source: Ensembl